Molecule: ribosomal RNA, 601 nt
Filed under: uncultured bacterium
Lineage: Bacteria
Description: bacterial SSU rRNA
Rfam family: Bacterial small subunit ribosomal RNA
Source: RNAcentral
AGAGUUUGAUCAUGGCUCAGGACGAUGCUGGCGGCGUGCCUAAUACAUGCAAGUCGUGCGGGGAUUUUCGAGGCGGGGACUUCGGUUGAAGCCUUGGAGAUCCUAGCGGCGGACGGGUGAGUAACGCGUGGGUAACCUGCCCUAUCGCCCGGGAUAACCCUCGGAAACGAGGGCUAAUACUGGAUGCGGUCGCCGGGUCGCAUGACCGGGUGACGAAAGGGAAACCGCGAUAGGAUGGGCCCGCGUCCCAUUAGCUAGUUGGUGGGGUAACGGCCCACCAAGGCGACGAUGGGUAGCCGGCCUGAGAGGGUGGACGGCCACACUGGGACUGAGACACGGCCCAGACUCCUACGGGAGGCAGCAGUAGGGAAUCUUCGGCAAUGGGCGAAAGCCUGACCGAGCGACGCCGCGUGGGGGAUGAAGGUCUUCGGAUCGUAAACCCCUGUCCUUGGGGACGAUGAUGACGGUACCCAAGGAGGAAGCCCCGGCUAACUACGUGCCAGCAGCCGCGGUAAAACGUAGGGGGCAAGCGUUGUCCGGAAUUACUGGGCGUAAAGGGUGCGUAGGCGGCCGUUUAAGUCCUGUGUGAAAGACCUCGGCU